GCGUCAUUUCAGCACAUGUGUUUGAGAAACGCUGACUCAGUCUCGCGAAAUACCUGAUUUCGAGAGCGUACAUAUAUCAAUUAACUACGACGUCACGAACCAAUAAGCCGCAGACUACUCAGUUGCUAUCGGACCAAUAUAUGUACAUAUAUGUAUGCAUGUACAUACUCAAUUGUCACUUUGCACACUGCACUAAAGUGUUAUCGAACGGUAAGACGUGAAAGACGAAGUCGAAACGACGACAUAUCUCGAAUCAACCAGAAAGAAGAGUAAGUUCUGAGAAGGUAGAAAACGAGCCUCUAUAAAAGCAUAACACAACCGGCUUUGGUGAACAGUGAGCGAACGUUUGCGUUAAACAAAGUACAAAGCGUUUUCUUAUCGCAAUUCAGUGCUGAAGAGUGUCUCCAAUAACAAAAACAAAAAUAUAAAAUACAGCGAAAAUGCCGUGCCCCUGUGGAACUGGUUGUAAAUGUGGCACUCAAGGCCAAGGCAGUUGCGGUUGCGGCAGCGGAUCCUGCCAAUGUGGCAGUGGCAAAGGUUGUUGCGGCAAAUAAAUUGGUGUGGCAGUAUUGAGUGCUACUUGCACUAUGUAGCACAGAGUGGAAUGUGUUGCUAAUAACCAUGAAUAA
This is a long non-coding RNA of Bactrocera neohumeralis, 629 nucleotides long. RefSeq lists it as uncharacterized. The record is from RefSeq and is a predicted model, not a curated record. The transcript is spliced from 2 exons. Lineage: Eukaryota; Metazoa; Arthropoda; Insecta; Diptera; Tephritidae.